AACGUAGGAGGCGAGCGUUAUCCGGAUUCACUGGGCGUAAAGCGCACGUAGGCGGUCGGGUAAGUCGGAUGUUAAAGCCCCUGGCUCAACUAGGGGAGGCCAUUCGAUACUGCUCGGCUUGAGGAUGAGAGAGGAAAGUGGAAUUCCCGGUGUAGCGGUGGAAUGCGUAGAGAUCGGGAGGAACACCAGUGGCGAAAGCGGCUUUCUGGCUCAUUCCUGACGCUGAGUGUGCGAAAGCGUGGGUAGCAAACGGG
RNAcentral lists this ribosomal RNA (254 nucleotides) under uncultured bacterium. RNAcentral's name for it is "partial 16S ribosomal RNA". It matches the Rfam family "Bacterial small subunit ribosomal RNA", at positions 524 to 776 of the family's 1533-position model. The record is from RNAcentral.